AGAGUCGAACGGUUACAGGAUGUGCUUGCACAUCGCUGACGAGUUGGCGCGACGGGUGAGUAACGCUUAUGGAUCUGCCUCUGUGUGGGGGAUACUAUUGGCAAACGACUACCUACUAGCGGAUAAUGUUUACGAACCAAGGGGGGCGCUUUGCUCCCGCGCAUAGAGGAACCUAAGUGAGAUUAGCUAGUUGGUAAGGUAAUGGCUUACCAAGGCGACGAUCUCUAGCUGUGCUGAGAGGAAGAUCAGCCACACUGGGACUGAGACACGGCCCAGACUCCUACGGGAGGCAGCAGUGGGGAAUAUUGCACAAUGGGGGGAACCUCUGAUGCAGCCAUGCCGCGUGUGUGACGAACGGCCUGCGGGUAGUAAAGCACUUUCAGUUGUGAGGAAAGGUUAGUAGUUAAUACCUGCUAGCUGUGACGUUCGCAACAGAAGAAGCACCGGCUAACUCCGUGCCAGCAGCCGGGGUAAUACGGAGGGUGCGAGCGUGAGUCGGAAUUACUGGGCGUAAAGCGCGCGUAGGUGGUUUAGUCAGCUCAGAUGUGAAAGCCCAGAGGUCAACCUUGGAACUGCAGCUGAUACUGCAAGACUAGAGUACAAUAGAGGGGAGUGGAAUUACCGGCGUAGCGUGGAACUGCGUAGAGAUCGGAGGGAACACCAGUGGCGAAGGCGACUCCCUGGAUUGAUACUGACACUGAGGUGCAAAAGCGUAGGGAGCAAAAGGGAUAGAUACCUGGUAUGCAGCC
This 749-nucleotide ribosomal RNA is filed under the name uncultured Alteromonas sp. Its description in RNAcentral is "bacterial SSU rRNA". It matches the Rfam family "Bacterial small subunit ribosomal RNA", at positions 58 to 795 of the family's 1533-position model. The record is from RNAcentral. Lineage: Bacteria; Pseudomonadati; Pseudomonadota; Gammaproteobacteria; Alteromonadales; Alteromonadaceae.